Molecule: ribosomal RNA, 468 nt
Filed under: uncultured bacterium
Lineage: Bacteria
Description: partial 16S ribosomal RNA
Rfam family: Bacterial small subunit ribosomal RNA
Source: RNAcentral
GACGAACGCUGGCGGCGUGCUUAACACAUGCAAGUCGAACGGAAAGGCCCUGCUUUUGUGGGGUGCUCGAGUGGCGAACGGGUGAGUAACACGUGAGUAACCUGCCCUUGACUUUGGGAUAACUUCAGGAAACUGGGGCUAAUACCGGAUAGGAGCUCCUGCUGCACGGUGGGGGUUGGAAAGUUUCGGCGGUUGGGGAUGGACUCGCGGCUUAUCAGCUUGUUGGUGGGGUAGGGGCUUACCAAGGCUUUGACGGGUAGCCGGCCUGAGAGGGUGACCGGCCACAUUGGGACUGAGGUACGGCCCAGACUCCUACGGGAGGCAGCAGUGGGGAAUAUUGCACAAUGGGCGGAAGCCUGAUGCAGCAACGCCGCGUGCGGGAUGACGGCCUUCGGGUUGUAAACCGCUUUCGCCUGUGACGAAGCGUGAGUGACGGUAAUGGGUAAAGAAGCACCGGCUAACUACGUG